Molecule: long non-coding RNA, 1489 nt
Organism: Herpailurus yagouaroundi (jaguarundi)
Lineage: Eukaryota; Metazoa; Chordata; Mammalia; Carnivora; Felidae
Exons: 3
Source: RefSeq, a predicted model, not a curated record
CCGACUGAGCCACCCAGGUGCCCCUGAAGUGAAAAGCACUGUGCUUCAUGGCGUGGGAAGACUCGGCUUUGUGAAGUGAAAGAAAGCGUUAUAAUUUUAGAAACAUUCUUUGAGAAAAUAAUACAAUUUUAGGAUAGAAUACUGCAACAAGGAGACACAACAGUGCUUAAGAAACAUUUAAAUAUAUCCACUAAACCCUACAACAUGUAUCCCCAAGCCAACUUUCCUUCAGCUAGAUCCCAUAAUGUCUAAGGCCACUUCAAAGCUCUCUGACAGGAGGGAGAUUGUGAUGGAAGGAAAGUCGGAGAGCAAAGACAGAGGUCUUAACUGAUUGUGGUUAAAAUACCAUAAAUUUGCAAAUGUAACAAAAACAUGUGCCUUUGUGAACACGUUGUUAGGGCUCCUUCUCAGGCCUUGCCAAGUUAGGGGCCUUGAAACUCAAGCUUCAUUAACUUUGAGAGAAAUCCUCCUCUGACCAGCCCCACCCCUCCUAGCAUUUUUCUGCAGAUUAAAUCCGACUAAACUUAAAGGCAGCCAGUGGGAUGAGUAGAAGGCAGAAAUUAUAGAAAGAUCACAGUGGGGACUCAUAUUCCUCUUGCAAAUAUCAAGCCCUCAGACUGGGAGAUGAUGAAGGACACGUUAGGUCUUCGGGAAGAUACAUAAAGGAGUCUUUGGGCUGACAGGCCUCCAGAGAGGUUGAUGUCAUCACAGCCACAAAGAAGAAUGAUUUCCUACAGCAAUAGUGGAUCUGUGACGGCAUCAGGAUUACAAAAGCUGUUCUGGAGGCCACAGGUCCCAAAUCAAGGUGUCAGGAAAUCACACCUGAACUAUGCAAACUGGGCGGGGCAGCUGCUGCCAAGAAGAGCGAUACUGUCAUCAGAAGGAGGCGGACCCACUCGGCUGAGCAGGCUCAUGGUGCAGAGGAAGGUGGGGAGUUCCAUCUGGACGUGCCAAGUUGUGACACAGCAGGUGAGACACCUGAGAGUGAUGUCCCCUGUCCGUUAAAUGUGGCAGUAGGUGUAUCAUUUUUAAUUUUAGCAAGAAUACUUUCAGUGGAGCGUGGAGCAAGGGGACUGCUGAAGGGAGCUGACGAAUGGAUGGGAACUGAACAAAGUCGAAGCGGGGCUGGUCAGAAGCCAGAGAACUAGGGUCUCACCAUGACGACAGUGUUGCUGAGGCAGCCUUUCGGGAGGCAAUGCCCUAAAGCAGUAGUUCUCAAAGGCUGUAACCCAGAUCAGCAGCAUCAGGCAGCUGGAAAUUUACUAGAAAAGCAAAUUUUGAGGACCCAUCCAAGACCUACUGAAUCAAAACCUCUAGGGUGGAGCCCUAAAAUCUGUGUUUAACAAGCCCGCAGGUGACCCUGAUGUGGGCACUCCGGCCUCCGGAGCCUGGAGGAACCAACUUUGACAGAACUACUGGUGCCGUGUGCUCAGGGAGGCACACGUGUGUGGUAGUAACAUGUUUACUCCAGCUGGGCUUGCUUGGAAGC